RNAcentral lists this long non-coding RNA (877 nucleotides) under Pogona vitticeps (central bearded dragon). RNAcentral's name for it is "lncRNA (ENSPVIG00000021663.1)". The record is from RNAcentral. Lineage: Eukaryota; Metazoa; Chordata; Lepidosauria; Squamata; Agamidae.
UUACCAAUUUAAACUAUUCCCUCCUCCAGAGAGGCCACCUUGCCUUCUUAGAAAUCAGGGGGUUGAGUGAUAACGUCAGAACGUAUUUCAUCACAGAAUGGGGAGGAAGACGUGCUUCCGUUAUUCCUGAGGCUGUCCUGAUCUCUUAAGCCCAUGUGAGUUAAGUUAAUGAAUGGCUGAAGGCAAAGAUAGAAAGGGACCAUUUGAUCCCCUUCCAGCUUUCCCUGUUCAGAUACAGCCUGCGCUCCCAGUCCUUCCAGACACACCAUGAUAAACGUCCUGGCCAUAAUUGUGGCAUUGGUUAUGUCCCGUUAUGUCCAGGGCAGGAUCUUUCCGUUUUUGUCUCUUGUUUGUUCAUUUAUUCAAUGUCAGUUCAUAGACCUCUGGUUCUAGACCUGGUGUCUGUCAACACAGGACAUGGUGGACAAAAUUACUGCACAUGGAUGAAGAUGCCAUAGUCCUGUGCCACGUGGGUUAAUGAAUGAUCAGAGGCAAAGAUAGAGAAAGGGCCCUUUAUCCCCACCUGGGUUUCUCCGUUCAGAUACAGCCUGAAUUCCCAGUGCUUCCAGACUCACCAUGAUGAAGUUCCUGGUCCUCAUUGUGGCGUUGGUUAUCACCACAGGAUCCCGGGCUUCCGCAGCACCAGAGCGAGUUUCAAAGGUGAAGGAAUUGAGGGAUUCCUUCAAGGGACUUCCAAUGUUAUCCAUAGUCAUCUGGGGUAUGGCAGACAGAAGCAAGACAGCCCCGGAAUUGUCGUAAGCAAAUCCAUUACUGUAUAUGUUUAAUAGCUACUGGCAUUGUUGUCGGCAUAUUACACCAACAGUUUCAGCCACUAGCGGGAGUACAUCCAUUUUCUGUCUCUUUUAUUUAGGUACAC